This 66-nucleotide transfer RNA is filed under the name Puliciphora borinquenensis. RNAcentral's name for it is "tRNA-Asp". The record is from RNAcentral. Lineage: Eukaryota; Metazoa; Arthropoda; Insecta; Diptera; Phoridae.
AAAAAAUUAGUUAAUUUAUAAUAUUAGCUUGUCAAGCUAAAGUUACUUACUUUCUAGUAUUUUUUG